GGCUCAGGAUGAACGCGGGCGGUAUGCUUAACACAUGCAAGUCGAACGGAAUGCUUAGGCAUUUAGUGGCGGACGGGUGAGUAACGCGUGAGAAUUUGGCUUCAGGUCGGGGACAACAGUUGGAAACGACUGCUAAUACCGGAUAUGCCGGAAGGUGAAAGGCUUGCUGCCUGAAGAUAAGCUCGCGUCUGAUUAGCUAGUUGGUAGUGUAAGGGACUACCAAGGCGACGAUCAGUAGCUGGUCUGAGAGGAUGAUCAGCCACACUGGGACUGAGACACGGCCCAGACUCCUACGGGAGGCAGCAGUGGGGAAUUUUCCGCAAUGGGCGAAAGCCUGACGGAGCAAUACCGCGUGAGGGAGGAAGGCUCUUGGGUCGUAAACCUCUUUUCUCAAGGAAGAAAAAAAUGACGGUACUUGAGGAAUAAGCAUCGGCUAACUCCGUGCCAGCAGCCGCGGUAAUACGGAGGAUGCAAGCGUUAUCCGGAAUGAUUGGGCGUAAAGGGUCCGCAGGUGGUACUGUAAGUCUGCUGUUAAAGAGUCUGGCUCAACCAGAUAAAAGCAGUGGAAACUACAGAACUAGAGUGCGUUCGGGGCAGAAGGAAUUCCUGGUGUAGCGGUGAAAUGCGUAGAUAUCAGGAAGAACACCGGUGGCGAAAGCGUUCUGCUAGGCCGCAACUGACACUGAGGGACGAAAGCUAGGGGAGCGAAUGGGAUUAGAUACCCCAGUAGUCCUAGCCGUAAACGAUGGAUACUAGGCGUGGCUUGUAUCGACCCGAGCCGUGCCGGAGCUAACGCGUUAAGUAUCCCGCCUGGGGAGUACGCACGCAAGUGUG
RNAcentral lists this ribosomal RNA (834 nucleotides) under uncultured bacterium. Its description in RNAcentral is "bacterial SSU rRNA". It matches the Rfam family "Bacterial small subunit ribosomal RNA", at positions 21 to 896 of the family's 1533-position model. The record is from RNAcentral.